CACGUAGGGGGCGAGCGUUGUCCGGAUUCAUUGGGCGUAAAGCGCGCGCAGGCGGCUCGGAAAGUCGGGUGUGAAAACUCGGGGCUCAACCCCGGGCGUGCAUCCGAUACUGCCGGGCUUGAGGCAGGUAGGGGAGAUCGGAAUUCCUGGUGUAGCGGUGAAAUGCGCAGAUAUCAGGAGGAACACCGGUGGCGAAGGCGGAUCUCUGGGCCUGUCCUGACGCUGAGGCGCGAAAGCAUGGGGAGCGAACAGG
RNAcentral lists this ribosomal RNA (253 nucleotides) under uncultured bacterium. RNAcentral describes it as "partial 16S ribosomal RNA". It matches the Rfam family "Bacterial small subunit ribosomal RNA", at positions 524 to 776 of the family's 1533-position model. The record is from RNAcentral.